GCAGGCCUAACACAUGCAAGUCGAGCGGUAGCACAGAGAGCUUGCUCUCGGGUGACGAGCGGCGGACGGGUGAGUAAUGUCUGGGAAACUGCCUGAUGGAGGGGGAUAACUACUGGAAACGGUAGCUAAUACCGCAUAACGUCGCAAGACCAAAGUGGGGGACCUUCGGGCCUCAUGCCAUCAGAUGUGCCCAGAUGGGAUUAGCUAGUAGGUGGGGUAACGGCUCACCUAGGCGACGAUCCCUAGCUGGUCUGAGAGGAUGACCAGCCACACUGGAACUGAGACACGGUCCAGACUCCUACGGGAGGCAGCAGUGGGGAAUAUUGCACAAUGGGCGCAAGCCUGAUGCAGCCAUGCCGCGUGUGUGAAGAAGGCCUUCGGGUUGUAAAGCACUUUCAGCGGGGAGGAAGGCGUUAAGGUUAAUAACCUUGGCGAUUGACGUUACCCGCAGAAGAAGCACCGGCUAACUCCGUGCCAGCAGCCGCGGUAAUACGGAGGGUGCAAGCGUUAAUCGGAAUUACUGGGCGUAAAGCGCACGCAGGCGGUCUGUCAAGUCGGAUGUGAAAUCCCCGGGCUCAACCUGGGAACUGCAUUCGAAACUGGCAGGCUAGAGUCUUGUAGAGGGGGGUAGAAUUCCAGGUGUAGCGGUGAAAUGCGUAGAGAUCUGGAGGAAUACCGGUGGCGAAGGCGGCCCCCUGGACAAAGACUGACGCUCAGGUGCGAAAGCGUGGGGAGCAAACAGGAUUAGAUACCCUGGUAGUCCACGCCGUAAACGAUGUCGAUUUGGAGGUUGUGCCCUUGAGGCGUGGCUUCCGGAGCUAACGCGUUAAAUCGACCGCCUGGGNAGUACGGCCGCAAGGUUAAAACUCAAAUGAAUUGACGGGGGCCCGCACAAGCGGUGGAGCAUGUGGUUUAAUUCGAUGCAACGCGAAGAACCUUACCUGGUCUUGACAUCCACAGAACUUUCCAGAGAUGGAUUGGUGCCUUCGGGAACUGUGAGACAGGUGCUGCAUGGCUGUCGUCAGCUCGUGUUGUGAAAUGUUGGGUUAAGUCCCGCAACGAGCGCAACCCUUAUCCUUUGUUGCCAGCGGUCCGGCCGGGAACUCAAAGGAGACUGCCAGUGAUAAACUGGAGGAAGGUGGGGAUGACGUCAAGUCAUCAUGGCCCUUACGACCAGGGCUACACACGUGCUACAAUGGCAUAUACAAAGAGAAGCGACCUCGCGAGAGCAAGCGGACCUCAUAAAGUAUGUCGUAGUCCGGAUUGGAGUCUGCAACUCGACUCCAUGAAGUCGGAAUCGCUAGUAAUCGUAGAUCAGAAUGCUACGGUGAAUACGUUCCCGGGCCUUGUACAC
Molecule: ribosomal RNA, 1354 nt
Filed under: uncultured bacterium
Lineage: Bacteria
Description: bacterial SSU rRNA
Rfam family: Bacterial small subunit ribosomal RNA
Source: RNAcentral